GAUCGACUCUCUGGAGAUUCUGGAUAAACAGAAGCCGAAGGUGCAACAUAUAUGUUUCUUAUGCAUAUAUCAAUCUCUCAGGCAAAAGGACAGAGAAGGCAUA
Molecule: non-coding RNA, 103 nt
Organism: Eubacterium sp. CAG:252
Lineage: Bacteria; Bacillati; Bacillota; Clostridia; Eubacteriales; Eubacteriaceae
Source: Rfam